This 361-nucleotide ribosomal RNA is filed under the name uncultured bacterium. Its description in RNAcentral is "partial 16S ribosomal RNA". It matches the Rfam family "Bacterial small subunit ribosomal RNA", at positions 338 to 696 of the family's 1533-position model. The record is from RNAcentral.
CCUACGGGGGGCUGCAGUGAGGAAUAUUGGUCAAUGGGCGAGAGCCUGAACCAGCCAAGUCGCGUGAAGGAUGACGGCCCUACGGGUUGUAAACUUCUUUUGUCAGGGAGCAAUUGAGUCCACGUGUGGUGUUAGCGAGAGUACCUGAAAAAAAAGCAUCGGCUAACUCCGUGCAAGCAGCCGCGUUAAUACGGAGGAUGCGAGCGUUAUCCGGAUUUAUGGGGUUUAAAGGGUGCGUAGGCGGAAGAUCAAGUCAGGGGUAAAAAUUCGGGGCUAAACCCCGUCGUGCCGUUGAAACUGAUGUUCUUGAGUGGGCGAGAAGUAGGCGGAAUGCGUGGUGUAGCGGUGAAAUGCAUAGAUA